This 253-nucleotide ribosomal RNA is filed under the name uncultured bacterium. RNAcentral's name for it is "partial 16S ribosomal RNA". It matches the Rfam family "Bacterial small subunit ribosomal RNA", at positions 524 to 776 of the family's 1533-position model. The record is from RNAcentral.
UACGGGGGGGGCAAGCGUUGUUCGGAAUUACUGGGCGUAAAGGGCUCGUAGGCGGCCAACUAAGUCAGACGUGAAAUCCCUCAGCUUAACUGGGGAACUGCGUCUGAUACUGGAUGGCUUGGAUUCGGGAGAGGAAUGCGGAAUUCCAGGUGUAGCGGUGAAAUGCGUAGAUAUCUGGAGGAAUACCGGUGGCGAAGGCGGCAUCCUGGACCAUAACUGACGCUGAGGCGCGAAAGCUAGGGGAGCAAACGGG